UAUCCCUACGGGAGGCAGCAGUGGGGGAUAUUGCACAAUGGGGGGAACCCUGAUGCAGCGACGCCGCGUGGGUGAAGAAGCGCCUCGGCGCGUAAAGCCCUGUCAGCAGGGAAGAAAAUGACGGUACCUGAAGAAGAAGCCCCGGCUAACUACGUGCCAGCAGCCGCGGUAAUACGCAGGGGGCAAGCGUUAUCCGGAUUUACUGGGCGUAAAGGGGGCGCAGACGGCGAUGCAAGCCAGGAGUGAAAGCCCGGGGCACAACCCCGGGACUGCCCUUGGAACUGCGGGGCUGGAGCGCAGGAGGG
This 305-nucleotide ribosomal RNA is filed under the name uncultured bacterium. Its description in RNAcentral is "bacterial SSU rRNA". It matches the Rfam family "Bacterial small subunit ribosomal RNA", at positions 334 to 656 of the family's 1533-position model. The record is from RNAcentral.